UGGUCACACACAUAAUCUACUUUGAAUUUUAUUUGACAAAAUAAUGCAUACGUAUACGAACGCUUUAUUUCCAUAUUUACUAGUUUGAUACGUCACUUUAGAAAUGCUUUUUACACUCCAUAUAUGGAAAAAUAUUCCAAAUAAACAUAAAGAGGAACAAAUGAACUAUAAACAUGUGGACGUUAUAGUUCCAAAUAAAGAUGUGGCUGUAAGAGACGAACUCAAUUUUCCGUGUACAUAAUUCAAGCCUGCGUCCCUUUCUGAAAAGUGAGUUCAAGGUUAAAAAUGGAAAAGAAAAAAUGCCUGUCAACUCAACUGGAUAUAAUAAUAAUUGAUUAUGAGAUAGCUACUCCUUCUACUUGCACAAUUUCAAAAUCACGUGAUGUAUAUUACCGGAAAUUGUUUUUUUAGAUUAUCAAAAUAAAAACAUCAUACUUAUGCGAUAAUGUAUAUGUUUAUAUUUCUUAUUUUUUAUAACUUACACGCAUUUCAAAAUAAUAACUACUCUAACAUUCUAGUAUAUAAAUUAUAAAAGAAAUGAAGACUUUUUUUUUUAUAAAUUAGAGCAUAGACUAAUUCCUCGAAUAGCAUAAUACUGUAAUAGAGGAUAAAAUUAUUUUCAAAAGAUUUACUAUUACUGUAUGUUUAGGACCUAAUUCAAAUUCAGAAAUUCGAAUUAAGCAGGAAGAAACAUGUCAUCGCUUUUGCGUAUUUCUUUUUCUUUCUUUUUUUACUAAAAGAAGCAUAUUCCUAUGAUUGUUUUAAUUACCUCAUUUAGUCGACUCUGUCGAGGAAUAAAAAACAUCAUUUAGUAUCAUGGAAGAUAUUUUGAUAAAAAAUCAUUACUCUUUAUGAGCCUGGUGUAGGGUCACUCUUCUCAUCACUUUCCCUUUCUCUUUUCCAAAUAUAACCCAUCACAAGGCAAACCAGCUGUCUCAUUUGACGUAUAAAAUAUCUAAACUCACUCACUCACACAAAACAUCACACACUCACACACACUCUCACACUGUUACCACUUUCCUUUAACUAUGGUUCCCUAUAUAUACAACACCUUACUCUUCACAAUCUUUACACCAACUCUAUCUUCAGCCACCAAUUUCACUUUCGAAACCUUUUCUAUUGUCUCCAUCACAAAAAUAUGUUUCCAACUAACAGCUCUUCCACUUCACAACCCAGUUCCUCAAAACCUUCCACUUCCUCCAACACAACAUUGCCAAAUUUAGAGGUCUCUCAUGACAUGUCAGUUUUCAACGAGGAACUGCGGUUAGCUGCUAGUACACCGAAGAAACGUGCAGGGAGGAAGAAGUUCAAGGAGACUCGCCACCCUGUGUAUAGGGGUGUAAGGAGGAGGAACUUAGAUAAAUGGGUCUGUGAAAUGAGGGAGCCAAACAAGAAGACUAAAAUUUGGCUAGGAACUUUUCCGACAGCUGAGAUGGCAGCCCGAGCUCAUGAUGUUGCAGCAUUGGCAUUAAGAGGUCGUUACGCUUGUCUCAACUUUAGAGACUCCGCAUGGCGACUCCCUGUUCCAGCCACUACCGAGACAAAAGAUAUACAAAAGGCAGCUGCACUGGCCGCCGAAGCUUUCAGACCAGCCAACAAGACUUUAGAACCAGAUGAGGCUUUUAGACCAGACAAAACUUUAGAAUCAGAUGAUGCUUUCGAACCAGACAAGACUUUAAUAUCUAAUGACAUUGACACGGCAGUAGCUGCAACAACAGAAGAGCAAUUUAUGUUUCGUAUGGAAGAGGAAGAAGAAGAGAAAGAGUUGAGCAUUCCAGAAAUGUUAAAGAAUAUGGCACUAAUGUCCCCAACACAUAGCUUGGGACAUGAGGAUGAACAUAUUGAUGCAGACUUUGAAGAUGUUGAGGUGUCACUAUGGAGUUUUUCAAUUUGAUUUAUCUGUAUUCUUUAUAAUAUAAAGUUCACUUUAUUUUUGGGUUGCAGAAUAGAAAAUUGUCUGUCCUAUACUAUUUUUUAUUAAUUGUGCAAUAGAUAUUUUAAUCUACUUAUGUGAAAUUGAAAAAUAUAUUUUUUUUGAUAGCUUUUAUGAGAAUGUAACUAAUAAGGUAUAAAGUGCAUCUCUAAUCCUUUUUUUAGUAUGUUCUAUAAAAGGAUACAAAUAUAAAUUAACAAAAGACUACACAAGUAUCAAAUCAUAGUCAUGAUCAUUUCAAUCAGAAUAAUCAAUACAAAAUCUAUAAAAGAAUAAUCAAUAUUUUAUAAAUUUCGUAUCUGAAGAUCUAAUUUCAAUCCUUGCAGAUCUAAAUCUGAAGAAGUUGUCAAACAAGAACAUACAGCAAUCCAAAAAUAUCACACAAAAAUCAAAACCUAAUCAGAAAUUAAAUAGAAAACUAACCAAAAUCAGAAUUGCGUACAAAAUUAAAGUGAAAAUGAAUAACUAGUGUCUACUAAUUUUGAAAUACAAACAGAGAAGAGAAUUAAAGUUUAGGGUUUUCAACAAAAAAACUUAGGGAUUUUCUGUUCUGAAAGAACGAACUGGACAAAAUAAAGCAACUUACUCUUAGAGGAGAAGAAGACGACGGCUGUGAGAUCUCCGGCACGGUGGCUCCGUCGAAAAACCUGGUUCGAAAUAAAAAUGAUAGAACUGAGAAUCGGGAAGAAGAUG
Molecule: long non-coding RNA, 2626 nt
Filed under: Lathyrus oleraceus (garden pea)
Lineage: Eukaryota; Viridiplantae; Streptophyta; Magnoliopsida; Fabales; Fabaceae
Description: Pisum sativum (pea) long non-coding RNA (PSAT_LNC001934)
Source: RNAcentral